This 2455-nucleotide long non-coding RNA is filed under the name Nicotiana benthamiana. Its description in RNAcentral is "long non-coding RNA (NBEN_LNC003498)". Lineage: Eukaryota; Viridiplantae; Streptophyta; Magnoliopsida; Solanales; Solanaceae. The record is from RNAcentral.
AAGCCCCCUUCCUCGUACCUUCGUCUUCCUCAAGUUCUCUUAUGUUACUCCGCCAUCGAACCGCCGCCAGAUAUCGUCUCCGCCGACGGAAAUCGUCUCCGCCGACGGCGGAGCUCUAAUCUACCCCAAAACUCUACCAUAUACUCCUCGCCUUAACCCCGUCCCAUUCCCACCAUUGAUUUAUUCCAAAACCCAGCCAACGCUCCGGAAAUUCCAAUAUGAGAAUGGGUGAAAAACCCUAAUCCGCCCCAAACUUUGCAAAAUUUCUACCAAGGGUUCCUCGGAUCUCCUCCACCAUAAAUCUGUGCUUAAACCCCUCAAAACUCUCUGAAAUUCAUCGAAUUGGAAGGGAUAGGGUUCGCCAGUUUUGAAUUUGUUUUGAAGAUUUGAAGUUGAAUCGACUUCCCUAUUAAUGUUAUUUGCUUAUGAUAGUUUGAAUGGAAAAUAACAUUAACGGGGUGUCGAUUCCGUUGCGAGUUGUCCCGGGCAGAUUUUAGGGUGAGUUCCCUUUCAAGUUUUAGUUUGUUUAUUUUUUUUGCUUCCCUUGUUGCAUUUCUGGCAAUCAAUCGAAUAAGCAAUUAUCGACUUAGCUAGUUUCGUAUUUUUCUAUUUUCCAACCUUGUGUUUCUAAUUUGAGGCUUGAUUGUUAAAAUCUAAGUCAUCUCUUUCUUUCUGCUCAUAAUUAUUAUUAGUUAAGCUUUAUUUCUGUUAGUUUAGAUUACUCUUCAGUUUUGAUUUUGAUUUUUCUAAAUCUUGUGUUUAGUAUUGUCCCUAUUUGUUCACUAGAUAUUAGGUCGUCUUGAAUGAUGGUUGAUUUUUCUGCUAAGUUAGUGUGUUUGUUUAAUUUUGCUUUGUUUUAGCUUUGUUAUUCUGAUUGGUCGUCUUCUUCAAAGCUAUUUCCGAUCUUUUAGUUAGUUAGUUUAGUUUCUAAUAAGUUUAGUGUUGAUUAAUUGCAAUCCUUAAGCUCAUUUCAGAUAAUUUCAGCUUCUUAAUGUUACUUUAAAAUUUCAGUUAGUAAUUUCUCUUUAGGUGUUAGUACUAAUCCCUGUCAAUAUUAAUUAGUUCUUUGUAAAUAGAUAAAUUGGUUAUAGUUGAAGAAGCCAGUUUUUAGUGUAACUAUAGUUUGAAUUCUAACUAAGGGUUAAAGGGUUGGGUCAGUUGGCAUUAGCUGUAAUUUUGGGGCUGUUAGAAGGGUAGUUUAGACAGAGAAAGUGGCAGAAUCUUAAAAACAGUAAUUUUAAAACUGGGGAAGGGUAAUUUAGGGAUUGCUUAACCAAAAAAGCAUCCUAGAUGCUUCUAGAAUAGGGUAAUUACUCUAUUAGAAGGGUAGUGUAGACAUAGAAAGUGGCAGAAUCUUAAAAAACAGUAAUUUUAAAACAAGGGAAGUGUAACUUAGAAAUUGUAUAACCAAAAGAGCAUACUAUGUGCUUCUAGAAUAGGGUAAGAGUGUAGCUUUCAGCUUGUUAGUAGUACUUGCUUAGGUAGCAAGUUAGAAAUGGUGGGACCAAACUGAAAAUAAGUAGGGACUGAUAUUGCAAACUAAAAAUCUGAAGGUUGCCCUCACUCUUGCAUAUAUAAAGGCAUCAAUUGCCUUGUGAAAGGGUCUUGAAUUUUCCAGCUCAAAAAGUCCACAAGAAAUCUAAUUUUUCUUUCAUUUUAGCUUCAGAUUGGUUUCAAUAUUUAAAUACACAAAAAAUACCAAAAAAUGCAUAUAGGAAAUAGAAAACAACAAAAAUAGUCACUGUUUCAUUGAUUGUGAGCAACUUCUGGUUUCUCUGUUGGUUUUCUGUUUAUAAUUUGGUCUGGGAAUUGUUGCGGACUAGUUUGGAGUUUGUUUCUGCUGGGUUAUAGUUAUUACAAGGGUAUUUUCUGGGUUAUCUACUGAUUUCCAAAAUGUUCUACGUUAAAUCUUGCAUAUGAAGGCUGUUGUGUUUCUUGUUGCUGUGGUUUUUGGUAAUUUUAAUUGUUGUUGACCUUCCUCUGCUCCUCUAUUCUAUUGUAAUUCAGGUACACAUUCGGAAUCGACUUCAUGAAACCCCUUUGUGAAAUGAAAGUGUCAUUGGCUGUUUGACUCUCCUUGAAGCAUCCACUGUCCCGUUGAGUAACUGCAGUUACUAAUUUUCUUGUUCAGUUUGUUUGAAGCAGGAUAAAUAGAUUUGUGUUAACUUUGAAUUGUGUGAGACCUAGGUUGUUUGAAUUUGUUUUAAUUUUGUAAUGAAUGGACUGUUAAGCCUUCUGAUCCUUAACUGUUUCUUUGAAUUUUGAGUGUUAAAUAUGGGCAAAUACAUGGUAAUGAUCCAGAUUAAGCUUCAAGUGGUUUCAACAGGCCAUGUUCAUAACUGUGUGUGAAAGAUAGCUAAAUGAUUAGUUAGGCCUCAAAUUGCAGUAGUUUUUCAUUUUGAAGCAUAACUCGACAGCUCUUUGAGUAUUGAUGAAUUCGUUUUUUAGAAUAUAG